GUUGUAUCCAUGCGAUAUUCAGUUUCAAAGAGUUGUUAACAGUGUUUGUGUGCCAAGAGUAAAUCGAUCAGUUUGUGUGUCCGCAUGCAAGUUUUAAAAGACGACUUAUACGUGGAUGUAAUCAGACAACCUUAGCUUUGGAUACAUAUUUCGCAAAACAACAAGCUUGAAGCAACACUGAAAUACAAAUAAACAUGGAAAUGAGUCAGGGUUUGGAUCCUGCUUCCGGCUCAGACAUUGACCAAGAAGUAGAAGCAUUGGAGAAACUGUUUACCUCCGUUCUACAGGAUGAUACUGUUAUCGGCCUAUUACAUGACAUAUUAGCAAAACCGAUUGUGUUCUAUCCAGAGGUUGAGAAUAAAAAUGGCACAAUUCACCAAAUUAUUACAGAAGAUGAACUCAUAAAAACUCUUAACCCACUUGAGGGAGUUAAUGAGCAAAUUAAAAAUGUUUGGGUUUACAAAGCUCGGCUUUCAAAACUCCAGCGGCUUAGUGUUAUAUUUUAUAAUGAGUUUCUUGUAUUCGAAACAGAAUGUUGGUGGUGGUCCAUAGAUAAUCACCAUGAUGCCAUUACAAUUCAGCGUAGCAAAAAAGCAACGUUAGUAAAAGAUUAUUUUAGAAAUAAAGAACGUUUAAAAGUUAAAGUCCGUUUGCACAAAAGCGCAUGUUCUUGGAGUAUUUACAGUCUUUUCAUCAGGAUAAAGGAUACUGGCGGGCUUCCUGAAAAAUACAGUGAGACAACAAGCUACUGCAAACACUUUGCUGAAGCAGUCUUCAACCAAGUA
Dreissena polymorpha is the source of this 785-nucleotide long non-coding RNA. RefSeq lists it as uncharacterized. The transcript is spliced from 3 exons. NCBI's taxonomy places the organism in Eukaryota, Metazoa, Mollusca, Bivalvia, Myida, Dreissenidae. The record is from RefSeq and is a predicted model, not a curated record.